RNAcentral lists this ribosomal RNA (536 nucleotides) under uncultured delta proteobacterium. RNAcentral describes it as "bacterial SSU rRNA". It matches the Rfam family "Bacterial small subunit ribosomal RNA", at positions 382 to 916 of the family's 1533-position model. The record is from RNAcentral. Lineage: Bacteria; Deltaproteobacteria.
CCUGACGCAGCGACGCCGCGUGUGUGACGAAGGCCUUCGGGUCGUAAAGCACUGUCAGCCGGGAAGAAGACGUGCGUAAAGCGCACGUAGACGGUACCGGCGAAGGAAGCACCGGCCAACUCCGUGCCAGCAGCCGCGGUAAGACGGAGGGUGCAAGCGUUGUUCGGAAUCAUUGGGCGUAAAGGGCGCGCAGGCGGCCUUCCAAGUCUGGUGUGAAAGCCCGGGGCUCAACUCCGGAAGCGCACUGGAAACUGGAUGGCUUGAGUCCGAGAGGGGACCGUGGAAUUCCCGGUGUAGGGGUGAAGUCCGUAGAGAUCAGGAGGAACACCGGAGGUGAAAACGACGGUCUGGAUCGGGACUGACGCUGAGGCGCGAAAGCGCGGGUAGCGAACAGGAUUAGAUACCCUGGUAGUCCGCGCCAUAAACGAUGUUCAUUGGACGUUGCAUGGGUUAAACCGUGCAGUGUCGAAGCUAACGCGUUAAAUGAACCGCCUGGGGAGUACGGCCGCAAGGCUAAAACUCAAAGGAAUUGACGG